GAUGAACGCUAGCUACAGGCUUAACACAUGCAAGUCGAGGGACCGGCGCACGGGUGAGUAACACGUAUCCAACCUGCCCUUUACUCAGGGAUAGUCUUUCGGAAGAAAGAUUAAUACCAGACAUAAAGGAUGGGGAUGCGUUGCAUUAGGUUGUUGGUGAGGUAACGGCUGCCCAAGCCUUGGAUGGAUAGGGGUUCUGAGAGGAAGGUCCCCGACAACGGAGCGGAUACACUAUCCAAACGCCUACGGGAGGCAGCAGUGGUGAGUAUUGGUCAAGGGUCGGUUGCCUCAACCAGCCACGUAGCGUGAAGGAUGAUGGCUUAUGGGUCGUAUACUUCUUUUAGAUAAGAAUAUGUAUUAUAUGAAUAAGGAUCGGCUAACUCCGUGCCAGCAGCCGCGGUAAUAC
RNAcentral lists this ribosomal RNA (406 nucleotides) under uncultured bacterium. Its description in RNAcentral is "partial 16S ribosomal RNA". It matches the Rfam family "Bacterial small subunit ribosomal RNA", at positions 28 to 526 of the family's 1533-position model. The record is from RNAcentral.